UACGGAGGGGGCGAGCGUUAUUCGGAAUCAUUGGGCGUAAAGGGCGCGUAGGCGGCCCCGUAAGUCUUGGGUGAAAGCCCUCGGCUCAACCGAGGAAUUGCCUUGGAUACUGCGGGGCUCGAGGCUGGAAGAGGACAGUGGAAUUCCCGGUGUAGCGGUGAAAUGCGUAGAUAUGGGGAGGAACACCGGUGGCGAAGGCGGCCAUCUGGACGGCUAUUGACGCUGAGACGCGAAAGCGUGGGGAGCAAACAGG
RNAcentral lists this ribosomal RNA (253 nucleotides) under uncultured bacterium. Its description in RNAcentral is "partial 16S ribosomal RNA". It matches the Rfam family "Bacterial small subunit ribosomal RNA", at positions 524 to 776 of the family's 1533-position model. The record is from RNAcentral.